ACAAGAACAUUAUCCUUGUUUACUAUUACUAUACGAAAUGGUUAAGAAAAAAACAAGGAAUUGCUUUCUCGAUGUCUACUAUCUGUAUAUCUUUCUCAUUUCUAAUCCUAUUGCUUUACAAAACUUCACGGGCAGAAGAAUUUGCACCAUGUCCUACUUAUAAUCUCCUCAAACGGCCAGUAAGAUCAAUGAACACAUCCUCUUUGCAAUGUAUUGUAAGGCCACCCAUUGGAUGAUCAAACCCAAACUCUUCUUCAGCUUGAGCUAACAAGUCUUGAAAUGAUGGUUGGUUCAAGUAUGAUACUGGCAUAACAAAUCUCUUCUUUUGACUCUCUCCUACAUAUAAGGCACAAUGACCUUUUGGAACAUCUCCUGAUGUUGAAGACUUCCUUAGGAUUCCCAUUAUCACAAGGUAUAUUUGGUAAACUCUAAAUGGUGACGAAAAAGAAAGAACAAGAAUUUGGAGAACUGCACAGAAAAAGAAUGUUUGUUAAGUGUCUAUAUACUUGUAGUUUGCUCAAAUGAUUUGCGUCCGAGUAUAUAUACAAGUUAAUGUCAAGUUUCAUACUCAAAAGGUGAGAGACAAUGGCACAUGAAGUUUCACAUGGUUUUGCGUUCUAUGAUAUUGUCAAAGAAUUUGCACCAUAAAUUUGUUGAAGAACAACACUAGGUCCCAUUUCUUCUCUUGAUUCUGAAUGGGGUGACACCUUUAAAAAUAAGAGCCACAAUAAUGGAUGAAAUUGAUUACUAAGUCUUGGACCACUUGGUUUAAAGAAAUAAAUGCAUCAACCUCUUUGAUUAAAACUAGACAACUUAUAAUCCACAAAUUUGAGGCCCCAUAAACAUAGCCAACAAAUAGGCACAUGGCUUCGCCCUCAGUGGUUAGUGAAAAAAUCUUAAGCUCCAACCGAAAGCCUGUCUACAACCUUUUAUAUAAAUAACCCCCUUUCUAUGAUCCAUUUUCAUCAUCAACUACAAGUAUAUCGAUUAAGAGACCAUAUUGUUCAAAAUUUCUAAUUUACUUUCUUGUUUCCAAUCUUCCAAGAUAAAUGGUAAUGCUCAGCCCUAAGAAACUCAUCAAGAUGGCAAUGAGAUGAUGGAAGUUUGUAGCCAUGCAGAAGAGGAGGAUUUUGUUUCCAAGAAAUGAUAGUAAUGAAGACAGUUGCAGUACAUCCUCAUCCUAUACUAUUGAAAAGGGCCAUUUUGUAUUGUAUACAAUUGAUCAAAGGCGAUAUGUGUUUCCCCUGGCUUACCUUGAAAAUGAGUCCAUUGUGAAACUUUUAAAAAUGUCUGAUGAAGAGUUUGGACUGCCGUGUGGUGGCCCUAUUACAUUUUCCUGUGGUUCAGCCUUCAUGGACUACAUCAUUUCGCUAAUCAAGAAAGCUGUAACUGCUGGAGAUCUUCACAAAGCUUUGUUCUUCUCAAUUCCUUCAUAUUGCUGUACUUCAACUUUAUAUUUGCACCAAGAAAGUGGAAACCAAUUGCUUCUCGUUUAUUGACUCAUGACAUCAUGUUCUGUAAAUGAAAGCACAAAAUAGAAUGUCUAGCAGUUGAGAGUGUCAAUUUUCUGCUGAAUACCUCUCAAUAUUGAGAGUGUUGUCAUUAAAUAGAAAAUAUUCAAUGAUUACAUCCCUAAAGAUCCUUCUACCUAUCCCUAAAGAUCAGUUUUUCUAUCCCUCAAAAUUCUCUAUUCUAUCCCACCAAAUCUGCUCUUACUAAAGUCACUAUUAUUAUCUUUAACUACUGUAACACCCCACAUUUCGAGCUAGAAUAAAAACCAUGACUCUGAUGCAUUGAUAAUUUCAAAGCCUUAAAUCCUAUGCCAAUUUGGCAUGCUUAUGUAGUAUGUGAAUCCAUUUGAGAAUAAAUUUAGACCAUAGAGGUCCUUCAACUCAAGGAUGAGUUGAAACUAUUUCGAUCGAUUAAGUUUUAGUGGAUGCUGUAAUUUGUGUCAGUUUCCAUCGAGCAUAACUCUCUAUAUAUGUCGAAUUACAAAGACUACUAUGUGUCAAAUGAUAGGUCGUCAAUUUAACUUUCCAACGAUACCAAUUUUGCUAAAAUCCAACACUCGAGCAAGAAGUUAUGGCCUUUCAAAGUAGUAUGCAUCGCCUAACCAAUCGCACAUGGCCACUGGAAAGCAUAUGCAAUAGCAUAUGCGGCACCUAUGUAAAUAUAGGCAAUAUCAUAUGCGGCGCCUAUGUAAAUAUAGGCGAUAUCAUAUGCGGCGCCUAUGUAAAUAUAUGUGAUAUCAUAUGCAGCGCAUAUCUUAUGGUUUGAAGUGACUUAAACACUCCAUUUUUGGGGCAACAUGUUCCUUUUCCCAACCUUAUUCAGCCAUAAACACAAAAUUAAGUCCCCAAUUCUCCAAAAUACAUCCACAUUCAUCUAAAAAUUCUCAAGAACACUCCCAAGAGUUUGAAACUAAAAACCCAAAUAAAUCAAGAUUUAACCAUGGGUUUUCAAAAUUUAUUAGAGAUUCGGAAUCCCCAAUCCAUAGGCUUCAAGAAGCACCCAUUAUUUUCCGAAAUAGAGGUACGCGGGGUUUUUCUAAAUUUUCAGAGGCAUAAAAAUCAUGUUUUAUUAUGAGUUUUUUGAAUCUAUGUAUAUAUUCAUGUAUUAAAUGUUUUAACAUCAUUGUUUUGGUCUUUUGACCUUCUUCAAAGUGAUUUGAGAAUAUGAAUGUAUGAAACCAUGUAUUUAAGAAUGAAUUCUUGUUGAGAGAAUGAUUUUCGGUGAAUUCCCUCUUAUUAUGAAUUUUUCAGAUUUCUCAUAGCAUAUAUGGCUCAGAAAUCAUGACUUGCAAGUCUUGGUAUGACGAUACCAAUUCAGACCAAUGUCAUAUCACACUCAGACUAAUAAACAUUUCAGACUAUCAUGAUUUUAGACAUUCAGAAUGUUGCAUGUACAGAAAAGGUUAAAAUUGGGCAUACAAAGAUGUUAGGUGGUUCCCUGAAUAGGACUUGAGUUCAAGCAACUCAUUGACUAAAACUGUCGUUUGCCAACUCGUGUAUAUUAUUAUACGCUGACUUAAGUGUCGUGUGGUGUAUCAGAUUUAGGAACUCCAACCCUUGCAGUAUACUCGGGUUGGAGGCUUCCCCGCUGAGUCAAUGGCGGAUUACAUAUCGCCCGUGGAAUAUCAGACUUGUAGGGGAUACCACCUAACUAAGAAGUAAUACACAAAUCAGAGUUUGAGAUUUACAAACAGGUUACAUAUUUUCAGAAGGUGCCCAUGUAUUUUUCAGAAACUGUUUUAUGCAUAAUUUUUGAUGAACAUUUGCUCUCACGUAUUAUAUAUAUAUAUAUAUAUAUAUGUUCAAUUACUCUAUUUUGGAUUGCUUCGCGUGCCAGUACAAUUGUACUGACCCCCCUUCCUCCCAGGUACUGAGGCGCAGUCUAGGGGUCUAGAUCCUUAGUAGAGUCUACAGACAGGGUUCUCUCAGAGUUCAGUUGGUGAGCUUUCUUUGCUUCGGAAGGCCUAGUCAUUUAGGUAUUUAUUUUAGUAUGGCUUUUGGUCUGUUGGGGUCCUUGUCCCAGUUAUUCAGAUAGUAUGUCAGUAGAGAUUUCGUAGACUAUUGUAGAUGUUUAUUAAAUAUUGUUCGGCAUGUUUUCAGGCCUUUAACUAUUUUAAAUUAUUGACCAUGUUUCCAUAUUAUUAUGUCUAUACAGUAUUACUUUGAUCAUAUUAAUUAUGUGCAUGAUUACCAGAUACACAAAGGGCGUUCCGGGCCUUUGGGUUCGAGAAUGAUCGUCACGGAUAGGGCAUCGGUUCGGGUUGUGAAGAACAUGGUCCCAGGGUGUCUGCAAAAUUACGUCGGGUAGAGUCUUAUUUAUGGGUGUGUAGUGUGCCACACUUAAAUGCAGGAGGCUACAAGGCAUUUUAGAAUGUCUCUUUUUCUUCAUAUUCUAGUUCAUGCUAUAGAGUCAGAAUGUUCCUCCUUCAUACUCUAAUUCGUGCUAGGGUGUCACCCAUACAAAAAUAAAAUUUAUCCUAAUUCUUCCUCACUCUGGUGUUUCUAGUUAUUCUUCGAUUAUCUAGCAGAAAUUUCAGAAGUCCCACAAAGGAUGGGAGAGGAGUUCCCUAGUGUAAAAUUGUGUCAUCGUUCUUAUGAGGUGUUCAGUUAAGACAAGAGUAAGAUGUGUAUUUUUGAGUGAUUGAAUAUUUUGUAUCAAGCUUCUAUCUCUUGUAAUCUUGAUAUCAUUGUGUUAUUGAAAACAAAAGUCUAGUGAAGCUGUGUGAGGCCUAUUUCGAUUCACUAGCAACUUGUUGUUCAUCUUGUUGUUCUUGUGUUUGUCAGAACUGUAUUUCCACCCGAGUAGUAGUAUAAGUUAGAGUGUCGGUGUCAUGACCUAUUGGUAGUGAAAUUAGACCAAGAAGUUUGUGAUAUGAAGUCAUAAGGUUAGAGGUCAGAGUGAGGGUGACUUUUGUGAUUAAAUAUUUAUAGUUGAAUAACUAUUGAUUGAGAAUGAUUUACCUUUCUUUGGUGGUAGACUAAUGUGGUGGUACCAUUUAUGAAUUGUAUGGUAGUCUAUGGAGGAAGUUUUGACUCAGAAUGUUAUUUGUUUUCUUUCUUUCAAAAUAAAGAAAGAGCCCAGAGUGGAUACUUAAGGUGGUUAUAGAAACCCCUUAUAGGCUAUGAAUGAAAAUGGCUAGAUUAGCCAGUAGGUUGUAAGUAUAGACUCAUUUUCAUAUGGGGUAUCUGAAGGUAGUCUAAGUGCCCAUUGGGGUAACUAAGUGUGAUGUGAGAAAGCCGUAUAAGUAAAUAAGAUUGUAUGGUUAUAAUAGAAGCUUAAGGUUGAUCAUGUCUAUUAUGUGACCUUACCCCUUAACCUUCUUGUCAUUGGUAGUUGUAAGCUAAUACUAGUUGUGAGAAAGUAUGUAGUAUAUUUUUGAAGUAUUUGGGUAGAAUAUCUCAAUUUGAAGGAUUCGUAUAUUUAUAUUAUGUUGCACUCUUCAUUGGUUGUAAAUGAUUGAUGCUAGAAUAUAGGCUUGAAUUUAAAUGGUGUGGUGGUGAACAAUGGCAAGAGAUCAAUGAUACAUGUUUCUUGGGAUUAGAUUUGUAUACUUGAUGUAUUGAAAUAGUACGUCCUAAUGGAUUAUGACAAGGAAAACUGUAAGGUCAUGAUCGAUUAUUGUGGUUAUGAAUUUCUAGUGUACUAGUGUUUCUUGAUGUUUAUUUCAUAGUUUCUAAGUGAGUAUUGUGUGUAAGGUUGGUUGUAAAUCAUGUUUAGCACUAGACAUUAAGUUUGAAACAAUUGAAGGCCAUGGAGGUGGAUGUGAUGAUUUCUUGGUUAAUGAUACUAGUUAUAUGGAAGUGAUCUAUAGGCUUGAACAGUGUAUGCAAGUGCCUAAGUUUAUUUGAUUCAUAAUGAAGUAUGACGUUGUAUAUGUGAUGUAGAAGUAUGCCCAAGGUGGUAUGAAGCUGUAGUAUUUUUCUAAGGCUAUUACAUGUUGUGUAUGGCUACUGGUACCAUUGAUUUGCUAGGUGGAAAAAGACUAGCUCUAUGGUAUAUGGUGUUCUAAAUAGCCAAGUUAAGGACCUUUGAUUGAUAGCGUUGAGCCUUUCGAUAUGAACUUGAUUCUCAUGGUAGAGGAAAAUAAGUUUGAAGUUGCUAUGUUGGUAGACUACGAUAGAAAUAGAGUGGCUCAUUGAAUACUUGGUGAUACCCAUGUUAGGUGUUAUAAUCUAAGCUCGAGUCCUUGAAAGUUGUGCUAAUAGAAAUAAGAGUAGAGGCACUAGAGGGUGUGUACUUCAACUUUGGGGAUACUCAUGAAGAUUUGAAGUUAGCAAGUGUUCGAGUAAUAGAUGAUGACUAUUGGGGUUACAGAAUGAUAGAGUGUACAUCAGGAGGUAGUAUUAACAGUGGGCGUUCCACUCUCAUAUGUGGUCUUUCGGGUUAAGUUUUAUUAAUUUUGUGUAUUGUCAUAUUUCAGAACCCAGAGUGCAGUGAGUGCAGUUAAGUUUAAAGUCUAUUAAGGUAUCUCCCAAAAACUUACGAUGAUGGCUUGAAGCUAAGGGAGAGAUGACUAAACGAAUAACCAAGUAAGACUCUCAGAUUCUUGUAGUGAUAUCAUGAUGAUAUAGAACAUCAAAAAGUAUGGGUGAAUCUCAACCCAUUCCUAUCUCAGUAUUUCUCAGUGAUCCUAAUACCUACUCAUGCUUUAUGAUUUAGUUCCAUGAUCAGUUCACGUUCAUGCAUAUGAUAGAGAGUCAUGUACUCACGCUUUAUAAUGUGCUCCAUUUCCAUAACUCAUGUUUUACGCCAAAUGAUUGGAGAGAUUCAGCUUAUAGCCAUGAAUACCCUAAAUUCAGAGCGCUUUGGUGAGUCCCUGUUGUUGUUUUGCUAUUCCUCAGGCCUCAGAUGAGUGUCAAGCUUCAUAUAGUAUCAUUCCAUUCCUCCAGAUCUUAUGUUCUAUCCUUUUUGUGACUCCUCCUUAUGCGAUGAUAGUGGUGGUGAGUAAUUAGAAGAUCGUUUUUGACAUCCAUUUGAUGAAGAGUCCAAUUUUGUGAAGCAACAAUGGCAACAAUAGAUCUCACCGUUGUCAUUUUUGCAACUGGCAUAAAAGUCUCUCCAUAGUUCACACCAUACUCCUGCUUGUUACCAAGAAUAACCAACCGAGCUUUGUACCAAUCAAGAGUUCCAUCAGAAUGAAAUUUAAUUGAAUAAAUCCAUUUACAUCCAAUUGGAUGGACAUUUGAAGGACAUGAAACAAUAUCCCAUGUGUCAUUUUCUUUGAAAGAAAAAAGUUCUUCCUCCAUUGCCUUCUGCCAACAUUCAUGCUUAGAAUCUUGUGAGUAACAAGUUGGAACAGAAAUGGUGGAUAAAGUAGAUGAAAAGCCAUACCAAUUAGGAGUACGAGAUACUCUCGUAGAUCGUCAAGCGGGCUCAAGAGGAGCAGGCCUUGAAGAAUUCUCAGAUUCUAGUUGUGGUGUAGUUUUAAGUGGCGGAUCAAUAUAAGGAGGGGGUAAAGUUGGCCGCCGACGUUCGUACACAAAUCCGGGUUUGAACCUCUUAGAAGAAGAUGACAAAUCUUCAAAAGUAGGAAGAAGAAGAGAAGCAGGAGAUGACUCAACAUGAGUAGGAAAAAAAACCUGAUUCUCAAAGAAAACAACAUUUCUAGUAACAUGAAAUUUCUUAGAACAUGGAUCAUAACAUAGAAAACCUUUCUGUGAAGUACUAUAAUCCAUAAAAAUACAUUUAGUAGACUGAACAAAACGUUUAUUAUGCGGAGAUGGAGGAAGAUUCACAAACCAAAUACAACCAAAUGUAUGAAAGUUAUCAUAGCUUGGAUUUUUGUGAUAAAGAUGAAAAUACGGAGACUCAAGAUUUAACACUUUAGAUGGCAGCCAGUUAAUUAAAUAGAUAGCAGUAGAGAAAGCUUCAACCCAAUAUUUAGAUGGGACAGAGGACUCAAUCAAUAAAGUAUGAGUGACAUCCAAAAGAUGAUGAUUUUUACACUCAGCGACCCCAUUUUGUUGUGGUGUAUUUGGACAAGAGCUUUGUGAGACAAUUCCUUUGUCAAGCAAAAAAUUUUUGAAUUCAUUUGACAUAUAUUCUCCACCAGAAUCAGAUCUUAAUAAUUUGAUACAAGAAGAAAAUUGAGGCUCAAUGUAAGCCAAAAAUAUCUUGAACAUGGAAAAUACUUCAGAUUUGGUACGAAGAAAAUACACCCACAUAAAUCGACUAGAAUCAUCUAUGAAUGUCACAAAGUACUUGAACUGGGCAUGAGAAACAACUGGUGAAAUACCCCAAGCAUCACUAUGAACAACAUCAAAACACUUUGUAGCACGACUACCCAAAUUAGGAAAAGGAAGAAUUUUAUUUUGCCUAAUUUACAAGUAUAACAAUCAAAUGAAGCAGGGGAAAAUUGAUUUUUACUUCCUAAUAAACCAGAAUUUGAUAAAUAAGACAACACAACAAAAUUUGGAUGUCCUAGAUGCUUACGCCAAAGCUCAGUCUUAUUAGCCGUAGAAGUACAAGCAAAAGACAUAACGGGAGUAAUGAAAAAUUGUAUAGGAAACAAUCUUCCAGCUUUAGGCCAUUUCGUGAUUAUUGUCCCCGACACCUAAUCCUGCACAAGAGAACCAUUAUGAGAAAAAUAUACAAUCUUCCAGCUUUAGGCCCUUUCGUGAUUAUUGUCCCCGACACCUAAUCCUGCACAAGAGAACCAUUAUGAGAAAAAUAUACAUCAGAAUUGUCAUCAACCAAUUUUCCAACUGAAAUAAGACUAGUUGAGAGCUUCGGUGAGACAAAAACAUUCUUGAAAGUUGGAGCAAUAUCCCCAACCUUGGUAAUGGGUAAAUUACUACCAUUAUCAGCCUGUAUUUGUGAUGAACCUUGAUACUUACGAAUAUUUUUUAGCAUGCUUGUUGAGUUGGUCAUAUGAUUGGAAGCACCAGAAUCAACAAUCCAAAAAUUAGAUUUAACAUCAAUACCUUGUAAUCCCAAUGCUGAAAAGGCUUAUACGAUCAUUUGUUAUACCAUUUCAGGAGUAAGAACUUUUCCUGAAGGUCCUGAAGAUGAGUUCUCAAGAGUGGAACCAUUUAUGGUUGCAUGAAAAUUAUUUACCUUACGAUUCUAAGGGCGUGUGGGAUACUUUUUGAUAAUGUGUCCUUGUUUUUUACAAUAAUUACAGAACUUCUUGCCACAAUUUCUAGCAAUAUGGCCAUAUUACUUGCAAUUGUAGCAUUAAGUUCUAUUCAUAUCCCUACUCAUACCUUUGCCUUGAGCAGCAAAUGCAACAACGACAUCAUUUUCUCUUCUCAAAGCAUUUUGUUUGACAUAACGCUGCUCUUCACAAAGCAAUUCCCUAAAACAAACAUCCAGGGAGGGAGACGGGUCACGAUUCAUCAAGUUAGAGCGAACACUCUCAAACUCAGAGCGUAACUUCAUCAAAAAUUGAUCUCGCUGGCUUUGCUCAUGAACUUGCUGAAUUACAGAGAGAGAUUCGGAAGGUAUUUUGGCAUAAACAAUAUCUGUAAAUUCAACCCAUAAUUUUUGAAAUCCAGAAUAAUAAUCUUGAAUAGAAAGACCUCCUUGAGAGUAAUUAGCAAUUUCAUACUCUAAGUGAAAGUGUGGGGCACUAUUAUCUUGGUUGCAAACCUUUUGUAAAUAAUCCCAAAUGGCCUUAGCUAUCUUGUAAGGCCUAAUAUUAGAAACAAUAAAAGGGUUAAUUGACCCUAAAAGCCAUGUCAUCACCCGAAAAACUUUAAUCUUCCAUUCACCUAACUUUGUAGGAUCAGUAUCAGCGGGAUCGGCUCCAUCUAUAUGGCCCCAUAGUUCUUUUCCGGUGACAAAUAACUAAAACUCCCAUGAUGAAAAAUUCUUUCCAGUGAAACAACACUGAAUGAUUCAAACUGAUAUGAACUCAUAAUUAUAAAAACUAGAAAGACUAACUCAAAAAAAAACCAAAAUGACCAAGAUUAAAGUCCUAGGUGUUAAUUGUCGAGGAACAAUCAACAAAAACCAAAAUUUUCAAAAUGAAUUUUGAAAGAAACCACAAAUGAACUCUAUGAAACAGAUAGCCAAGAGAAGGCUCUGAUACCAUGUCAAUUUUCUGCUUAAUACCUCUCAAUAUUGAGAGUCUUGUCAUUAAAUAGAUAAUAUUCAAUGAUUACAUCCCUAAAGAUCCGUCUUCCUAUCCCUAAAGAUCAACUUUUCUAUCCCUCUAAAUCCGCUAUUCUAUCCCACCAAAUCUACUCUUACUAAAGUCACUAUUAUUCUCUUUAACUACUAAAUUAAAUCUAUGUAAUUACACUAAUAUACAACAAUAUAUGAUUACAUUAAUAUACAAUAUUUACAUCAUGCUAAUAGAGAGAUAGGCAACUGAAGGCUUGUUUUAUUACAGAGGGAAUAGAACUUUAUCUUGAAAUUUACCAGAUCUAUAGCUUUCACUUUCCAACUAAGCAAUUGAGAAAUUUUAGCAUUAUCAUUGUACGAUUAUUUAUUAAAGGCAAUCAGUUUUUUCAAUUGAAACUAACAGAGGAAUGAAUCACACCAUCACAAGUCUAAUGAUAUGAGAACUAACUGUAAAGAGUUUAAACUAAGUGAGCUCAUAAAGUGAUCCUCUUUCAGAUUUUCUUAGCAGUUAAAUUUCAUACUUUAAUUAACCUUUAGAAUGUAAUAACAGGCUCAGUGGUUACCACGACACCACACUAAUCGAUCACAACUUCGAGUCUUGUUUCCGUUAAUAUGUCAUUCUUAUUCAAAUGUACAAAUGGAUACUACAAGUGUUCCUCGAGCCACAAGUGUUCCUCGAGCAACAAUACAAGAGCCUGAGUCUUGAGAGAUGGGGACAUGAUCACAGAUAUAUCAAUGAGCUUAAAACUCAGAUGUAAAUAAGUCAUAAUAUUUGGAGGCAUUCCAAGACAAACUAUUGAAAGUUGCUUUAAGAAUGCAGCUGUUUUUUCCUUAUUUUCUCAAGCAGUUUUUCAUGUACAAUCCUAGUUAAAUUAGGAGUCCUGUCUUUGGUAGGAAACUAAUUAGUUAUUUUAAUUUUGAUAGAAAUAGGUUGUUUCUUUGUCCUAUUUUUAGUUGUAAGAGCAACUAUUUAAGUUGCUAAGUUGAUGAUCAAUAAUAGCCGGUCUUUUAACAAGAAAAUAAUCUCUCUUUGCAUAUUCUCUUCAAACUCCAUCUCUAUUUUAGUGGCUAACUUUUGAAUUGAAUUCCUAUUAUUUCCCUUUAACUGUUUUAAACCAACAAUUGGUAUCAGAGCUUUAAUCUUAAGGGACCUGUGAGUGUUUGCAUCAAUCUGAUCCAGUGGAUACCAUGAACAGAGAAACAAAUUUUUCUUCAAUGGCACCACCAAAUUUUCACGGAGAAAGUUAUCAAAUCUGGGCAGUUAGAAUGCGGAUAUAUCUGCAAGCUUUGGAUCUCUGAGAAGCUGUUGAAGAGGAAUACGAGAUAGCUCCCUUGCCGGACAAUCCCACGGUGGUGCAUAUUAAAACUCACAAGGAGAGGAAAACUAGGAAAUCAAAGGAAAUUGCAUGCUUAUUUAUUACAGUUUCAUCUAAUAUCUUGACUUGUAUCAUGUCUCUGCAAUGAGCGAAAGAGGUACGGGAUUAUCUCAAGACUGAGUAUGAAGGAGAUAAAAGGAUUCAAGGGAUACAAGUGAUGAAUCUGGUACGUGAGUUUGAGCUGCAAAGGAUGAAAGAAAAUGAAACCAUAAAGGUGUACUCUGACAGACUUCUUAAUUUAAAAAAUCACAUCAGAUUGUUGGGUUCCACUUUCAAUGAUUCAAGGAUCGUUGAAAAAAUUCUAGUAAUAGUACCUGAAAGAUUUGAGGAUACCAUAACAACCUUAGAAAAUACUAAGGACUUGUCUAAAAUCACACUUGCAGGGCUCUUAUGUGCUUUUCAAGCGCAAGAGAAACGACGCGUUAUGAGACAAAGAGGAGCUGUUGAAGGUGCCUUACCAGCCAAGCAUCACGUUGAUAGACGUUCUAAGAAGAAGAAGAAAAAUAAGAAGUAACAACCAACUGAUGAAGAAGGUGCAUUGAACAACAACAAAAACAAAACAGGUGGUUUCAAAAGAAACUACCCUUCUUGUAAGCAUUGCGGCAAGCUCGGACAUGCACCUUUCAAGUGUUGGGAAAGGCCUGCUGCUAAGUGCACUAAGUGAAAUCAGCUUGGGCAUGAAGCGAUCAUCUACAACAAUAAAACUCAGCAGCAAGAUGCAGAGGCUUGAGUUGUUGAUGAACAGGAAGAGGAUCAACUAUUUGUUGCAUCAUGUUUUACAAGCAGUGUCUCAAGCGAGUUGUGGCAAAUCGAUAGUGGAUGCACAAAUCAUAUGACUUGCGGUAAAGAUCUCUUUAAAGAUUUUAGGCCUACUAAAGUUACAAAAUUUAGAAUCGACCAUGAUGGUUAUAUUCCAGUAAAAGGAAUGGGAACGAUUAUAAUUGAAACACAAUCGGGCACUAACACAAUUUAUGAUGUUCUUUAUGUACCCGAUUUGGAUCAGAACUUGUAAAGUGUUGGUCAGUUAUUAGAAAAAGGUUUCAAAUUGUAUUUCAAAGAUAAAUAUUGCUUGAUCAAGGAAGCAUCUGGACUAGACCUAUUUAGAGUCAAAAUGAGAGGCAGAAGUUUCUUAUUAAAUCCAUUGGAAGAAGAGCGUGGAUUUCACCCGUUAUGUGUGGAGCCACCUCUGCUAAAAGAAGAUAUUCCACUUGAUAAUGAAGGAUGGAUUUGUCCUGGUUGCGAUUACAAAGUUGACUACAUUGACUUGCUUAAUGAUCUUCAAGGAACAGACCUUUCCGCCACUGACAGCUGGGAGAAAGUAUAUCCCAAGGAAGCUGUUGCUGCUGCGUCUAGGGAGAAGCUAGAUGAUAUUUCUGGACUUCGAUCAGAUGACUUAGAGGAUGAUGACUACAAUCCAGAAAAUCCAGAUGUAGAAAAAAAUGAUUCUGAAGCUGAGGCCAUGUCAUGACCCGAAUUAGGGCCUAGCCGUGACGGACAUCCUGAACCAUGAAGGCCUGGAACUUCCUUCUCUAUCUGGUAAUCAUGCACAACACUCAUACAAAAAGAACAUGCGGAAACAUAGUCAGCUACAGAAACAUGGUCAAAUUCUAAUAUCAACAUAAGUAUGGAAAACUGUAGUGCAACUACAGCUAAAUAACAUCUUACUCUGUCUGCGAAAUCUCUACUAUAUGAAAAUCUGAUAAUUGUCUUAAAACUGGGACAAGGACCCCAAUAGACCAAAAUAAGAAUAAGGGUCAUAAUCUGAAAGAUGAGCUUUCUAGAAUAGAGAAGGCUCGCUAGCUGAACACUACAAACUCUAUCUGAUGAAUCUACUGCCUUUCUGGACCCCUAGACUAAGACUCAGAACCUAGAGGGAGAAGGGGGGUCAAUACAGAUGUACUGGUACGCAAAGUAUUCCAAAAUAAAAAUUUUAUAUAGAUAAAAUAGUUGGAGAGUAAAUCGUUAGAUACUAUACAUGAAAUAGUUCUAAAAAACAUGGGCACUUUUUGAAAAUCUCAAAUCAUUCUUAUUAAUGCAAUGUCUGAUCUUUGUAUAACUUCUGAGUUAGGUGGCACUCCCCUACAAUUCUGAUAUUCCAUGGGCUCUAUGGAAUCUGCCACUGACUAGGCGGGGAAGCCCCCAACCUGAGUGUGUCUCAAGGGUUGGAUUUUUUGAUUCUGAUACGCCAAACUGCUCUAGUCCAGCAUAAUAAAAUAUACCCAGAUCGACAAAUCACGAUUUUGGUAAACGAGUUGUCUAACUCAUGCCUUCUUCGAGGCACCACCUAAGCUCUCUUUAUGCCUAAUUUUAUCCUGUUUUUAAUCAUGCAUUAUUCUAGUUUCAAAAUCUGAAAAUUCUGACUUUAAACAUGUAUUCUAUUUUGUUCUGAAUUACCAUGGCAUAAUCUGAGUUUGUGUCGUCACACCAAGACUUGCAAGUCCUAUUUCUGAGCCAUAACGCAUCAUGCAUAAUUUUUUCAUUACAACAUAGUUCAGACCACCCAAACAUGCAACUAGUAUAAGAGAUUUCAUGUUCCAAAAGCAUAAGUCAAAACUAUGCAAGAACUCUUCAAACAGAAGGUGGUCAUGUGCUUUUGGCAAAAUCCAUGCACUCUUUCAUUAUAUGUAUUUUCAACAUUUUUCAAUACAAACAACCCUCUCUCUUUUGAAAUUGAAAUCAUAAUUCAAAUAUGACAUCAUUCAAGACAUUUCAUAACAUGCUUUUCAAGAUGCAGUUUAGAACAAUUCAUAUCAUAUGGAAGAUAAGAAAGAUCAUAACAAGAGAGGGGUUCAUUAUAAGCCAUGCUCUCAAUUGAAUAUUCAUCCUUAAACACAUUCAUACAUACNNNNNNNNNNNNNNNNNNNNNNNNNNNNCCAAAACAAUAUCGUCAAAACUUCUAAAAUAUGAUUAUAUUCAUAAAUCCAAAAUCCUUUUUCUUAAAACAUGAUUUUUAAGCCCAUGAGAUUUUAGGAAAACCCCGCGUACCUCGAAAUAGGGAAACAAUGGGUGUUUCUUGAAGCCUAUGAUCUGGGGAUUUUGAAUCUUCAAUCGAUUUUGAAAAUCCACGGUUGAAUCUUGAGUUUCUUGAAGUUCUUGUUUGAAACUCUAGAGAGGAUUCUUGAUGAUUUUAAUGAAAAUAGGGUUAAUUUGCUCAAACAUACCCUAAAUCCUUUGUUUGGACGGUUUUAAAGGCUAGGAAAAAGUCAAAAUUACCCUUAAUGACUCCUAAACGGAACUGAAAAUUUGAACUUAAAAACCCAAUUUCAGGUGCCACCGCGACACGCCACAAUCGCGGUGGUCCAUUGAAAUUUGACGAGUGGGAAAUUGGGUGCCUCCACAAUGCGCCACCAUCGCCGAACCCCACUGGAAUUUGACGAUUGUCAAUUUGACGCUCUCCAUGACGUGCUAGACACUAAAAUGUUGAUGUUUACUACUGGAACCUUAAAUUAUUCAUAACUUCUUCACCGAGGGUCCGUUUUGGAUGAAUCUUAUAUCGUUGGAAAGCUAAUUUUGUCAUCUACAUAAUGAAAGGUUUAAAUCUAGGAAAUUCCAAAUGAAAAUUAAUUUAGAUCAUUCUAGAAGAUAAUGAUUAGACUUUCCAUGGACGAAAUUUAGCUAAGAAGACGUCGGGGUGUUACAGGCCAGUUCUGAGAAUAUAAAUUUUACUCUGCAUUUGAAGACUUGGCAUAAGCCCCUCCUAAAUAUGAUGGGAUCUUGGGGCUUUCUUCUAAAGACUCAGAAGAUGAUGACUUUAAUCCUGGUAAUCCAGAUAAGGAUGAGUCUGUUAAAACAGAAAGUUCAAGUUCUGAUUUUACGUCCGACUCUGAGGAUUUUAGUUUGAUAGUUGAUACUGAUAUAUUGCGAGGUGAUGAGCAAGGGGUUUUCAGUUCAGUUGAUAACAUUAUGCCUAAUUCUGUUUCCCAAGAUGAAAAAGCUAAAGUUGGCAAAAGUAAAAGGAAUUUACUGAAGAAUGAGUUGUCGUAUCUUAUGCAGUCUGUGAGCCCUCUUUUCUCUGCCAAAAGGCACGUAGAGAGGUGUAGUGAGGGUGAGAUUCAACUAGCUAGGCUGUAAAAAAGGAGAAUGGCCAUCUUCUUCAAGCCUCUUCUCCUUCUUCUUCUUUCUCUUAUAGAUUUAUUUGCUAGCACCCUCAGCCUUGGAAUUGGAAUUAACUAUGGCUAGAUUGCCAAUAAUCUGCCAACACCCUCGCGAGUCUCAUAUCUUCUAAGAUCUCUCAAUGUUACGAGAGUUAAACUCUAUGACACUGAUCCAAAUGUGUUAAGUGUGUUUGCGAACACAGAUGUUGAAUUUGUUAUUGGACUUGGUAAUGAGUACGUACAGAGGAUGGCUAAUCCACAACAAGCUCAUGCUUGGAUUGAACAACAUGUCCAACCUUACCAUACUCAGACUAAAAUCACUUGUAUUACUAUUGGUAACGAGGUCUUGACGGGGACUGAUAUGCGCUAAAGUUUUACCUCCUGCCGGCAAUGUAGGGUGUAUACAGGGCUCUUUUUAAUCUUGGCCUUGACAGGGAAAUACUUGUCGCACAUCCCCACUCGGCUGGAAUCUUGGGAAACUCUUUUCCCCCUUCCUCUGGUUCAUUUCGACAAGUUGCCUAUAAUUCACCAGCAGAACGACAAGCAGCCUAUAGCGCUGGCACUUAUGACUGUUAUAGGGAAAAUGCUCAUCAUUGCCAGUGUCAUUCUUCUCCCUGGGACACAAUUAUGAGACAGAAAGUGUCCAAAGAAUCUCCAUCCUCACCGAAGAUGAUUGGAGAACCACUUGGAACUGAAUCUAAAAGCAACAUGAAUUAUUCUUCCUGCAAUGGAGUUGAGAAAUUAGAACCGCCAAAGCGAUGUUCUAAUGGAAAAAAAUGUCAUGCAACAGAUAUGAGUGAAGGAGAUGUGUUGAUACAAGAUGCCAGUGGAAAAGAAUCAGGUAAACCAACAGCGGAAGUUGAUACGACAAAUCAAGGAUCAGAUGUCACUCCUUGCAACAGAGCUUCUAAGGCAAAGAAUUGGUGUUUGCAUUUCAUAAAGCAAGGAGGAGUGUUGAAAGUUGCUUUAAGAAUGCAGCUGUUUUUUUUUCAGCAGUUUUUUAAGUACAAUCCUAGUAAAAUUAGGAGUCCUAUCUUUGGUAGGAAACUAAUUAGUUAUUUUAAUUUUGGUAGAAAUAGGUUGUUUCUUUGUCCCAUUUUUAGUUGUAAUAGCAACUAUUUAAUUUGCUAAGUUGAUGAUCAAUAAUAGCCUGUCUUUUAACAAGAAACAAAUCUCUCUCUGCAUAUUCUCUUCAAACUCCAUCUCUAUUUUAGUGGCUAUCUUUUAAAUUGAAUUCCUGUUAUUUCCCUUUAACCAUUUUAAACCAACACAAACCAUCGAUUGACAUCAAGAAGACUUACAACACCAUGGUCUACAAUAUUUAACAAAUUGUGGAGAAACUUUACUAUGGCCUAUUUGGCCAAUGAAACAGAAUUUGGUAUAUUUGUAGAGCAACUUACCUUUCUCUUCCUUCUGAGAGGAGUCAUUCGAACCUUAAAAUUUAGAAAUUGAGACAGAAAACACAACAAAAGAAAGCAUGAAAUUCCAUUUAAUCAUCUAAUUCCAGAUAUUCGGGUCAAAGAAACUAAGCUGAACUCAUUAUCAUGUGAUUUCACAGUUCAUUUUCGCUCUAAUAUAUGGAGUUCACCUGCAUAGAAGCAUGCUCAGAUUUACUAUAUAUCUGGAGAUAAGGAACUUGUAACAUUAAGAAUUUGACCAUACAAUCACAAAAAGGUGUCCAGGAACUGCAAAUAGUGAUACUAGUACUUUAACUGCUGGUGUCGAUAAAGACAUCAGCGUAGUUAAGGUGCAAAAUAUCAGGCAUAUCCAUCUAUUGAACGAGGAAACAUAAAAGGUUUGAAAAAAAUUGAUUCAAUACAAAUUGGCUAUAUCCAUUUGACAAGAGGUUGGUCAUUUUAACUCUACANNNNNNNNNNNNNNNNNNNNNNNNNNNNNNNNNNNNNNNNNNNNNNNNNNNNNNNNNNNNNNNNNNNNNNNNNNNNNNNNNNNNNNNNNNNNNNNNNNNNNNNNNNNNNNNNNNNNNNNNNNNNNNNNNNNNNNNNNNNNNNNNNNNNNNNNNNNNNNNNNNNNNNNNNNNNNNNNNNNNNNNNNNNNNNNNNNNNNNNNNNNNNNNNNNNNNNNNNNNNNNNNNNNNNNNNNNNNNNNNNNNNNNNNNNNNNNNNNNNNNNNNNNNNNNNNNNNNNNNNNNNNNNNNNNNNNNNNNNNNNNNNNNNNNNNNNNNNNNNNNNNNNNNNNNNNNNNNNNNNNNNNNNNNNNNNNNNNNNNNNNNNNNNNNNNNNNNNNNNNNNNNNNNNNNNNNNNNNNNNNNNNNNNNNNNNNNNNNNNNNNNNNNNNNNNNNNNNNNNNNNNNNNNNNNNNNNNNNNNNNNNNNNNNNNNNNNNNNNNNNNNNNNNNNNNNNNNNNNNNNNNNNNNNNNNNNNNNNNNNNNNNNNNNNNNNNNNNNNNNNNNNNNNNNNNNNNNNNNNNNNNNNNNNNNNNNNNNNNNNNNNNNNNNNNNNNNNNNNNNNNNNNNNNNNNNNNNNNNNNNNNNNNNNNNNNNNNNNNNNNNNNNNNNNNNNAACUUUAGCUACAAUUCAAAUUAGCCUUAAGUCCUUAACUUUAUAUAAAAUUGCUUCCAUUAGACAUUUUGAUAUAUCUACAGUCUAAAGGUCACAUAUCUAUGUGGCAAAGAAAAGAGCGCAGAACAUGGUUUUGCUUCCUACCAGAAAUUGUUCAUUUAAUGGUCUCAAAUUAUAGGCAUUGGUGAGAAAUACCAAGUUUGAGCUAAUAACAUAACUAAUAGGUCUACUUGGUUUUUGAUCAAAGAGAAGAAAGUUAGAAACUUAUCCACAAAUUUAAGGUCCCAUAUCAACGUGGCCAAGAGGCAUCAGCACAUGGCUUUGCCUAAAAAACUUGUCAGCAGCCUCUAAUUGUAUAAAUAAUCCCUUUUUUAUGAGCCUUUUCAUCAUCAAGCAACACAUUAUCAGUUAAGCAAUCAAAGGUCUCUAAAUUUCUUAUUUACUUUCUUCUUUCCAGUUUUACAUAAAAAGAAAAAAUGGCAAUGAUCAGUACCAAGAAACUCAUCAAAAUGGCUAGGAAAUGGCGGAAGUUUGCAGCCAUGCAGAGGAAGAGGAUUUCACUUACAGGAAAUGGUAGUGAUGCAGACGGUUGCAGUACGUACUCACCCUCUAUAGUCGGAAAAGGUCAUUUUGUAGUAUAUACAAUUGAUCAAACGCGCUUCGUGAUUCCCUUGGAUUAUCUUGAAAAUGAGGUCAUCAGGCAACUUUUAAUCACAUCAGAAGAAGAGUUUGGCCUGUCCAGUGCUGGACCCAUUACAUUAGCCUGUGAUUCAUCCUUCAUGGACUAUAUUAUUUCACUUAUCAAGAAAGGUGUAGCUGCAGGAGGUCUUCACAAUGCGUUGCUCCUCUCAAUUCCUUCAUGUUGCUGUUCAACUUCUUCUUUGCAGCAACAAAGUCAAAACCAGCAACUUCUUGUUUACUGAGUCAUGCUAUCAUGUAUUGUAAAUGAUAGCUCAAACUAGAUUGUAUAGCAAGUGAAAAAUAGGCAACUGAAAAUUUGUACUAUUAUAGAAUGAACAAGAUCUAUAGAAUUCAUUUUUUUCAAUUUGGGAAUUGGCGAAGUUUUAAUAUUCUCAUCUAGGAGUAGCAUUAUUUUAUUGCAGGUGAAAAAAAAAAAAAUCUGCACCAAAGUAUCUUUUCCAAUCAAAUUGCACUCUUCAAAGUAUAUGCAUGACUAAUACGCCAACAUUUUGUUCCGUUUGAAGUUCGCUCUAUUCAGACGAGCGACUUUUGCAAUGAAAAGAUCUUAGAAUAUUGAAAUGGACAACAUAUACUUAUAUAGAUAGUUCUUAUUUUUACCAGAAUUCAAAACCAUCCACAAAACAGUAAAAGUUGUUCUAAACCAAAUUACCCCAGAAACGUACAAGCAAAACAUAAUACCAUGGAGGAAAUAAGACAAACUAAAUAGCUAAACUAUCUCAGCGUUCAUUCGGAGAAACAUUUGAGACUUGAAAGUUAUCCCCCACGAUAGUCUUGAGUGAGUUAAACCUUGGAAGAUAUCGAGUCGCUACAGUUCCAAUACCCCUGCUAAUGGGGAUCAUCGUAAAAGUCAUGUCUUUUGAGUUGUAAGAAAGUAGCUGUGAGCCUUUUUUUCCUUGCAUCAAGAUUUCUCCAUCUUUCCAGAUUAGUAUCGGUAAAUAUUUUUGAAAACAAAUAUCAAGCCCAAAACCAGCCGGCCCCAAACAAGUCAAAAUGCGAACUUUAGUCCAAGAUUCAGCCAUUCCAUAUUCUUUCAUCCACCAUAUAUCAAUAUGCCCAUAAAUGCUACCACUAUCAUCAGUUAAACACAGACAAUUCCCCAGCUCUACCAGCGUCAAACACGAGGGUGCACAUGUAGAUCGCUGCGACUCUGCUUGGGCCAAAUACUUGAAUGGAAAUACCAGACCAGGUGGACCUGGCACAGACUUGAGCUUUUCAGUCUCAAUAACGAAGGAGUAAAUACUGUCCUUAUCGAUGGGAUCCAUCCAAUGAAGAGCCCCAUUCACACAAACCUGUCCAAAAUCCUGCCAUACAGGAUAUGGAACUUGGCCCAAAUUUCUCCAUUUCUCAUCAACUCCGAGAGUAUAAACCUCCAAUUCUGAUACUUCACGAUGACCCGUAAACCUUCUAGUCACUGAUCUCACUAACUUAUACUUUCCAGACACUUCACUAAAGCAAAAUCCAUAAACAACACGACAAACACUUUUCUCUAAUUCGGGCAACUUAAGUUUGAAAUACUCACCCAAAAGAGGAUUACUAAUGUAAACUGAAGUAUUUAUAUCAUAUAUAUUAGUCAUCAAACCAAUAAAUCCAUUACAUGAACCAAUUAAUCAAAACAUUGGGUAAUCCUCAACUGGAAUGUCCAUUCCGUGUUUUACUGGUGUGUUAAACUCAGGGCAGCUCAGUAAAAUAGGUCUGUUACGGAGUCUAGAAGAAUAAUCAUCACAACAUGGUUCGAGUUCAAGAAGCUGACUUAUGUCGUGAUCACGCGAAAACAAAAUGUAGGGAGGAGGUGAUCUUGAUUUAUACAUGGUAAGGAAUAAAGGGUCAGAGAAAAGAUUAUACCAGAGUUUGCAAACUUGCCUAGAGCUUAACAUGGACUCGAUCGGCAAUUUUGAGAGAAUUUCUACCAUAAUCACCCUUGGAAGAUGCAUAAAUCUGGUUCUUCUACGUCUAGGUUUGAAGAAGCUCAGAAUUGGGUUAAAGAGAGCAAAAAGCUUUGCGCUUUUGCGUUUAGGGUUCUCCGCCUCCAUCUCUCUCUCUCUCUGUGCAAAUAAGCAUUUUUUCCAAAGACAAAUGUUCGUCAGAAGCACGAAAAUCAGCUUCUGUAGUCAAAGUACUUAAACUUUAUACCCCAAAUAUAUACUCCCUCCAGUUUGUAUUAUUUUACCCCAUGAAUGUUAGAUCCGGAAUCUAAGUGAACCCCAAAUAGUUAAAAGUGACUGAAAUAGGACACGAAGUUAAAGUGAUUCCAAAAUAGACUUACCGCACUAUUUAGAGAGUGUUAUACUGCCUUUUUAAAGUUAACCCCGUUAACUUGAGGAACACUUAAAAUAUAGUCAAUUUUGGUAUCGCUUUAACUUCGUGUCCUAUUCUGAAACGUGCAAUUGCUAGUUUGUUGAAACAAGUGUCAUAAGUUCUGCAAUAGAUAUAUGAUACUCAACUAGUGAAAAACAAUGUUAUUUACUUAUUAAUCAGAAGUCCAUAUUCUGACCUCCAAAUUGUUCUAUUAUUUAAUAAUUUAGGAAAAGCUGAUGUAUUUUCUGGUAAAGGUCAUUCAUAUCCAAAUGUACAAACUACAACAACCAUUUAGAAUGUAGUAACAAAGCUCAGUAGUUAGUCCUAUGGCACACUAAUUGGGCUACCACCUUGAUUCUUGUUUCUGGUAAAGGUCAUUCAUAUCCAAAUGUACAAAUGGCUCCCACAAGUUUAUCUCAGUCCACAAUACCAGAUUUUGGUCUUGAGAGAUGGAGACACCGUCUCAGAUAAGUCAAGAUAUUUACAUUUGUAGUUUCGACUAGCAUAUAACUCAGACGUAAACAAGUCAUAAUAUCAGGAUAUGUUGCAAGACAAACUACCUAUAGAGAACAAGUGGUUUAGCAAGUUUUAAUGAACUAAGAAGACUUUCAAUAGCAAAUAUCUGUAGACUUACAAGACCAUGGUCUACAGCAUGCUUAGAUGGAACUGGAGCGAAGCAGCGUCAAGUUGAAACGAAUGACGGAGCACCUUUACAAUAGCCUAUCUUGCCAAUGAAACUGAACUUGGUAUCUCUGUAGAACAACAAACAUUUCGGUUGCUUCUCUGAAGCUUGUAAAAUUAGGAAUUAGCACUUAGUUGCCGAUGUUAAUAAACCUAGCAGCAAGGUUGUGCAAAAUAUCAAGUGACUUGAAAAAAAUUGCUUAAAUAAAAAUUUGUUACAUCCUUUACAAGCAGAAAAUCCUUGUUUACAAAAUAAUUACAAUAAAAAAAGGAAUUGUUUUCUCUCUUUGUCAAGUCCUGCUCUCUACUAUAUCUCAUCUUUCUCAUUUCUAAUCCGAUUGCUUUACAAAAUUUCAUGGGCAGAAGAAUUUGCACCAUGUCCUACUUAUAAUCUCCUCAAACGGGCAGAAAGAUCAAUGAACACAUCCUCUUUGCAAUGUAUUGUAAGAUCACCCGUUGGAUGAUCAAAGCCAAACUCUUCUUCAGCUUGAGCUAGCAAGUCUUGAAAUGAUGGUUGGUUCAAGUAUGAUACUGGCACGACAAAUCUCUUCUUUUGACUCUCUCCUACAUAUACGGCACAAUGACCUUUUGGAACACCUCCUGAUGUUGAAGACUUCCUUAGGAUUCCCAUUAUCACAAGGUAUAUUUGGUACACUCUAAAUGGUGACGGAAAAGAAAGAACAAGAAUUUGGAGAACUGCACAGAAAAACUACGUAUACUGCACAAUGACCUUUUGGAACAACUCCUGAUGUUGAAGACCUCCUUAGGAUUCCCAUUUUCGUAAGGUAUGUUUGGUAAACUCCAAAUGGUGAAGGAAAAGAAAGAACAGGAAUUUGGAGGACUGCACAGAAAAAAGAAAGUUUGAUUAACUGUCU
This 22121-nucleotide long non-coding RNA is filed under the name Capsicum annuum. Its description in RNAcentral is "long non-coding RNA (CANN_LNC020973)". Lineage: Eukaryota; Viridiplantae; Streptophyta; Magnoliopsida; Solanales; Solanaceae. The record is from RNAcentral.